Molecule: long non-coding RNA, 1342 nt
Filed under: Piliocolobus tephrosceles (Ugandan red Colobus)
Lineage: Eukaryota; Metazoa; Chordata; Mammalia; Primates; Cercopithecidae
Description: lncRNA (ENSPTEG00000025080.1)
Source: RNAcentral
AUGAAUAAGGACAGUUAUAAGGACAAUACAAGUAUUGUAGGUAACAAAAAAAAACUACAUUGUUAUAAUAAUUAUUGUGGUGAUAUUCUUCAUAGUAUUAAUUCGAAAAUAUAUAUUCAUGAAGUAAACAAUAAUGAUUUUACAAAAGGUGCUUUUAUAGAUACGAAUUUUUAUAUUAGUGACAUAAAAGUAAUAAAAAAUUUUAUUAUAGUAGCAGAUUUGUAUAAAGGUAUUUAUAUAAAUAUGUAUAAUUAUGAACACCACUAUGAUAGUCGUAGUAUAAUACCAAUUUCUAAAAUUGUUUAUAAUAAUAAUUUAAAUAUUUUAUGUUGUCAUUACAUUGUUUUUGAGUCUUUUAUUUCUAUUAUUGCAAUGGAUAUAUACAAUAACAUAUUAAUAUUUUCACAUAAAAAUAAUAAAGAUAUCGAUCACUUAUUCAUAUUUAAUUAUUUUAAUUUUAAUAAAAGAGUUCUUAAAUUUAUUAAUGUACCACAUGAAAAUCAAAAAUCAAAUUCAGUUUAUCACUUGCGAAUGAUGGUAGUAUUUAUUUAUUUCAACCUGUACAUAAUAAAACUUUUAUUUUUUUUUAAAGAAAUUUAUAAAAUUGUAAAAAAAUAUAUUUUCCCUAAUUUAGCCAUGAAUGUUUACGCUGAUUUGAAGCCGGACAUUUUUGUUCAGUCAAUUGUGUUAAACUUGUACAAAAAAAAUAAUACUUUUUUGUUAAAAAAUAUUCUUUUUUAUGACUUGUUAAGACAACUCCCUUUUUAUUCCUCUGAAGUUUUAUAUGAACUGUUUUCCAAAAAAUCUAAUUUACUCCAACAUAUUACAAUAGUAAUAAAAAAUAAAAUAUAUAUAUAUAUAUAUAUAUAUAUAUAUAUUUACAUUUGCACAUAUUUAUACAUGCACGUGUUCAUUCAUAUAUCACAAAAAAUACUUGUAUUGGUUCACCUGGAAAGGUAUUAUAACAUUUUUGUUAAUCACUUCAUAUGUAUAUGUAAUGUUCAUGCAAAAAAAAAAAAAAAAAAAAAAAAAAAUACUUGUUUAUAUUAUUUUGCAAUCCUUGUAAUUUAUUUUAUUUAUUAUUUUUUUUCUUUUUAUUAGGGAGAUCUUUUAUAUGAGUUAGAUUAUAUGGACGAAAAAUAAUUUUUUUUUUUUUUUUUUUUUUGAAUUUAACUCUUAAAAGCAUUACUAUUCAAUAUAUGAGUUUUUUUACUUAAUGUUUAUAUGUUUAUUUAUUUUAUUUUAUUUUUUUCCAUUUUAAAGAUUUAAAACGUUUUAAGUGAAAAAAAAAAAAAAAAAAAAAAAAAUUAAAAUUAUAAAAUAAAAAUAUAUUUAAAGCACA